RNAcentral lists this ribosomal RNA (506 nucleotides) under uncultured bacterium. Its description in RNAcentral is "partial 16S ribosomal RNA". It matches the Rfam family "Bacterial small subunit ribosomal RNA", at positions 28 to 523 of the family's 1533-position model. The record is from RNAcentral.
GAUGAACGCUAGCUACAGGCUUAACACAUGCAAGUCGAGGGGUAACGAGAGGAAAGCUUGCUUUCCUUGUCGACGACCGGCGCACGGGUGAGUAACGCGUAUCCAACCUGCCCCCAACUAGGGAAUAACCUUGCGAAAGUAAGACUAAUACCCUAUAAUUUCCUCAGAUGACAUCUGACGAGGAAUAAAGAUUUAUCGGUCGUGGAUGGGGAUGCGUCUGAUUAGCUUGUUGGCGGGGUAACGGCCCACCAAGGCAACGAUCAGUAGGGGUUCUGAGAGGAAGGUCCCCCACAUUGGAACUGAGACACGGUCCAAACUCCUACGGGAGGCAGCAGUGAGGAAUAUUGGUCAAUGGGCGGAAGCCUGAACCAGCCAAGUAGCGUGCAGGAUGACGGCCCUAUGGGUUGUAAACUGCUUUUAUACAGGAAUAAAGUUAGCCACGUGUGGUUAUUUGUAGGUACUGUAUGAAUAAGGACCGGCUAAUUCCGUGCCAGCAGCCGCCGUAA